CCUACGGGUGGCUGCAGUGGGGAAUAUUGCACAAUGGGCGCAAGCCUGAUGCAGCGACGCCGCGUGAGGGAUGACGGCCUUCGGGUUGUAAACCUCUUUCGCCAGGGACGAAGCGCAAGUGACGGUACCUGGAGAAGAAGCACCGGCCAACUACGUGCCAGCAGCCGCGGUAAUACGUAGGGUGCGAGCGUUGUCCGGAAUUACUGGGCGUAAAGAGCUCGUAGGCGGUUUGUCGCGUCGUCUGUGAAAUUCUGCAGCUUAACUGUAGGCGUGCAGGCGAUACGGGCAGACUUGAGUACUACAGGGGAGACUGGAAUUCCUGGUGUAGCGGUGAAAUGCGCAGAUAUCAGGAGGAACACCGGUGGCGAAGGCGGGUCUCUGGGUAGUUACUGACGCUGAGGAGCGAAAGCGUGGGGAGCAAACAGGAUUAGAUACCCUAGUAGUC
Molecule: ribosomal RNA, 445 nt
Filed under: uncultured bacterium
Lineage: Bacteria
Description: partial 16S ribosomal RNA
Rfam family: Bacterial small subunit ribosomal RNA
Source: RNAcentral